GGCAAGAGUAGAAGCGUUCACUGCGUUGCCCCCCCUGUGCCAUCCUGCACGGGCGAUGCCAGUCGGAAAUUGCUCUUGAA
This 80-nucleotide non-coding RNA is filed under the name unclassified sequences. Its description in RNAcentral is "Xanthine-I sequence". It matches the Rfam family "Xanthine riboswitch aptamer (NMT1 RNA)". From Rfam's summary of the family: Later it was reported as a ncRNA that recognised Xanthine. The record is from Rfam by way of RNAcentral.